AACUGUAGUAAUUCUAGAGCUAAUACAUGCCACUAUGCCCUGACCCGCAAGGGAACGGGUGGAUUUAUUAGAACAGAACCAACCGGUGGCGGCUCCGGCUGCUGCUGUUGCAUUCUGUGAUGACUCUGGAUAACUUUACUGAUCGCAGUCGGCCUUGAGUCGGCGACGGAUCUUUCAAAUGUCUGCCCUAUCAAUUUUCGAUGGUAGGUGACCUGCCUACCAUGGUGAUAACGGGUAACGGGGAAUCAGGGUUCGAUUCCGGAGAGGGAGCCUGAGAAACGGCUACCACUUCCAAGGAAGGCAGCAGGCGCGCAAAUUACCCAAUCCCGGCACGGGGAGGUAGUGACGAAAAAUACGGAUACGGGACUCGUUAGAGGCUCCGUAAUUCGAAUGAGUACACUUUAAAUCCUUUAACGAGGAUCAACUGGAGGGCAAGUCUGGUGCCAGCAGCCGCGGUAACUCCAGCUCCAGAAGCGUAUAUUAAAGUUGUUGCAGUUAAAAAGCUCGUAGUUGGAUCUGGGUCGCAUGGCUACAUGCUGUUGCUUGUAUUCCUGGCCUGGUUUACACUGGGACGGGUUUACGGGUCGGCGUCGUGGUUGUGCAGCCUUUCUGCCGUGUCUGUUUCGACAGGUGUUGGCAUGAUUGGUGGGUUCGUCCUGCCGGUCUGUUGACAUGCUCCCAGGUGCCCUUUACUGGGUGUC
Molecule: ribosomal RNA, 701 nt
Filed under: Haplorchis sp. JSU:FL21.1
Lineage: Eukaryota; Metazoa; Platyhelminthes; Trematoda; Opisthorchiida; Heterophyidae
Also listed under: 11 other names
Description: SSU rRNA
Rfam family: Eukaryotic small subunit ribosomal RNA
Source: RNAcentral